RNAcentral lists this unclassified non-coding RNA (334 nucleotides) under soil metagenome. RNAcentral's name for it is "partial contains 5.8S ribosomal RNA, internal transcribed spacer 2, and large subunit ribosomal RNA". The stretch from base 1 to 120 matches the Rfam family "5.8S ribosomal RNA", at positions 35 to 154 of the family's 154-position model. The record is from RNAcentral.
GAUGAAGAACGCAGCGAAAUGCGAUAAGUAAUGUGAAUUGCAGAAUCCAGUGAAUCAUCGAAUCUUUGAACGCACAUUGCGCCCGCCAGUAUUCUGGCGGGCAUGCCUGUCCGAGCGUCAUUUCAACCAUCAAGCCCCAGGCUUGUGUUGGGGACCUGCGUCCGACGCAGGCCCUGAAAACCAGUGGCGGGCUCGCUGUCCACACCGAGCGUAGUAACUAACCUCGCUACGGGAGCGGCGCGGGCGCCUGCCGUAAAACCCCCAAUUUUCACAAGGUUGACCUCGGAUCAGGUAGGAAUACCCGCUGAACUUAAGCAUAUCAAUAAGCGGAGGA